Molecule: long non-coding RNA, 454 nt
Filed under: Phoenix dactylifera (date palm)
Lineage: Eukaryota; Viridiplantae; Streptophyta; Magnoliopsida; Arecales; Arecaceae
Description: long non-coding RNA (PDAC_LNC004740)
Source: RNAcentral
UGAAGGGUAGGGCUAUUCCAGGAUAGUUAUUCUUUGGUGGCCGGAUGUUGGGGAGGUCAGAGAAUAAGUGAGGACAUCGGUUUCCAGGAUUUUAUGGCAAAGACAAACAUAUCAGCCCACUUUUUGAUAUAUUUAAAAUGCUUAGGGGCAAAACCAUAAUUGAAAGGAAUAAUUUUACUCCAUUCAUUUGAUGGAAAAGAUCGUCCAAAUAAAUCCAAUUUUUGGACUUAUCUGAAUAAGACUAUUCCAUGAUCGUUUUGGAGCUUUCUGUUGGAAGUAAACCAAUAUAAGUCGUCUAAGUGACUAGGAUUUGGUUUUGGCUAGAGUUCUUACUUGUUUGGGAGUUUUAUUAGGUUAGUGAUUGGAUUACUUUAGAUUGGAUUAGAACUAUACUAGAAGUGGUGUCUUUGACAGCGACUCAGUUGAAAUAGAAUUUGUUUAGCGCUGGGAACCG